UGCAGGUCGGCUGUCAAGCCCCUCCACAAAACCCCCAAACUGCAGGGGCUGCUGCCACAGGAACAUCACAUCCUGCUCAGAGACCUGGUCGCAGGGCUGGGAAAAAGAAACUUUCUCCUACACUGGGGUCAUGUGGAGCACAGAGACCUCGACACAGGGAGCAGGAGCAUCACCCUGGGGAGGCCUGGUGAGAUAAAGGUUUUCCUCCCCUCGCAGGGAAGGAGCUGUCUCUAGCAGCCACAUGGUGGAGUAGCCAGACAGGAGAAGCAAUUAGAGGUUUGCACUGCAUCCUUCUGCUGGAGGCAUUUCCAAAUCCUCACUGUUGCUCUUCAUUUUCAACACCAAACACUGAGCAGAGCCAUCAUCAUCAUCAUCAUCAGCAGCAGCAGCAGCAGCAGCAGCAUCAUCAUCAUCAUCAUCAUCACCAUCAUCAGGCCUUCAGUCUGAUGUGAGCUCUGGGCAGGCUGGCCCUGCUGCUGAGCCAGGGUGCCCCAGAAAAUCGAUUUAUCAGUGUCACUUCUGAUUGUGUCCUUGCCCCAGAGCCUUUGCUCCAGCACCAGAAGGGGUGAGAGUGUGUCAGAACCCAUCCCUGGUGAGCUCAGGGAAGUGUUAACAUCCUUUUUUUUUUUGCUGUGAGCAGGAUUCAGAGCUGGCAGCCGCAGUCAGGAGCGGCUUUGGCUGCUCCCCUGCAUCCUCCUGCAUCCUCCUGCAUCCUCCUGCCCUCUGCCCGCGGAGGUGACACCGCGGCUCCCCACGAGGUGGCAAUGUCUCCUGCAGGAGCUGCUGCCUCUGCUCGCAGCCUGGCAGAGGAUGCUCGGGGCAGCAGGAGGAGCAGGGCAGCCCAGAGCCGCCUGGGCUCUCACUGCUCUGCGGUGCAAGGCGUCUGGGGGUGCUCCUGUGUGGGGGUUUGCUGUUUUGUCUCUGCUCCCAUAUGGGUGAGGUGGUUCUGGGCAGCCCAAGCUUCAAAGGACCAGUCUGGACUCUCGAGUUUUCGGUCUUCGAUUUUGUUUAUUAUUUCUUAUCUACAAAGUUUUCUGUCUGCCCAGCCGAGAUCUGGUCAGCAAGGCAGCCCAGUGCACUCUCUGACUGCCCACGGGGCUGUGUCUUUUAUAGUAAAAAUACAUAUAACAUAUUUACCUUUUAUUCCCAAUACCUUUCAUCUUUAUUAACAAGUGCACCUUCACCAUGAACCAGUCUACAAGUGCCAGCAUCAUCCUGGACAUGGAUGCAGGGAGGAGAAAGAAGGACAGGGCACGCCCAAAUCCCUCCAUCUGGGGACUCCUGACCCCAUGUACAGGAUUCCAAACCCCCCUGUACAAGGUUCAAAACCCCCCUGUACCAUGCUCCAAAA
Long non-coding RNA from Passer montanus (Eurasian tree sparrow), 1351 nucleotides. RefSeq lists it as uncharacterized. The transcript is spliced from 3 exons. The record is from RefSeq and is a predicted model, not a curated record. Lineage: Eukaryota; Metazoa; Chordata; Aves; Passeriformes; Passeridae.